RNAcentral lists this ribosomal RNA (468 nucleotides) under uncultured bacterium. Its description in RNAcentral is "partial 16S ribosomal RNA". It matches the Rfam family "Bacterial small subunit ribosomal RNA", at positions 28 to 507 of the family's 1533-position model. The record is from RNAcentral.
AACGAACGCUGGCGGCAUGCCUAACACAUGCAAGUCGAACGACACCUUCGGGUCUAGUGGCGCACGGGUGCGUAAGGCGUGGGAAGCUGCCCGUAGGUUCGGAAUAACUCCCCGAAAGGGGUGCUAAUACCGGUUAAGGUCAUCGGACCAAGGAGUUAUUGCCUUUGGAUGGGCCGGGGUAGGUUUCGGCGGUUGGGGAUGGAAACGCUGCCUAUGCGCUUGUUGGUGGGGUAGUGGCUUACCAUGUCUGUGACGGGUAGCCGGCCUGAGAGGGUGACCGGCCACACUGGGACUGAGAUACGGCCCAGACGCCUACGGGAGGCAGCAGUGGGGAAUAUUGUACAAUGGGCGGAAGCCUGAUGCAGCAACGCCGCGUGCGGGAUGACGGCCUUCGGUUUGUAAACCGCUUUCGUCUGUGACGAAGCGUGAGUGACGGUAAUGGGUAAAGAAGCACCGGCUAACUACGUG